AACAAUUUGCACAAGAAGGACAUAGCUCAUUCAUCAUAGAGAGAUGAUCCAUGGAAGGAGACAAAGUACAUAAACAAGAUACACAACCACUGCGAAUGGGAAGCUUCCACAAGGUGAGAUGGUACCAUCACUCUUCAAUUAAGGUAACAUCUUAAGAUAUGUGACUAUCACUUUUAUAAGCUUCUCCUUGGUUCUGGCGUUCACAUAAAUAAAGAGACAAACAUGUAUGAUUUAUAACUCCAAAUUAACCAACCCAACUAAUUCAGCAUGCUUAGUCCUUUAAUCUUUGUUCCUAGUACUACCUCCAUGAUCCCACACUCCUAAUCAUAUGAGCUAAAAUAUUGCACAUUCAAUCUUUGGGAAGAUAUAAAGAAAAAUACAUAUACAUAGAUAGAUUAUCUUUCCAUAAGGUUGAGCGAUCUGAUCUGACAAAUAUUUUAAAUGCUACACUCAUGAACUUAUCACCCAUCAACUUUGUCUUGCUCCCUAUGCUUAAGGAUAGAGAAGAAUAAAUAUUUGGUUCUGUUAGUGUUUUCCACCAACAGGACCCAUGCACUUGAUCUCUGCCUUGUCUCUAUGAGCAGGACACAUUUUGAGAAACAUAGAGGAUUUUUCAACUUCUAGACUCUACCAAGUGAAGGACCUGGAUCUACGAGCACAAAUACACUGAGCAAGAUACUGCCAACGCCGCACUUCGAACUGCUGGGCAAACGAAGAACAUGGGUGACACCGUAUCAAGAGGUGCAGACGUCAAGGUUCACACCUGAAUCAAAUGACGCACCUGAAGAAUGAACACGGCGAGAAGUCUUGUUCAGAAGACUUAAAACAUUGAACCCUCGCCGAAAGAUAAAAUCGGUAGUUAUCUAUAUUUAUCCUUUUUGCAUUCUCUUUUCCCUUAAAUUAUUUACUUUCCUUAAAUGGCUUGUUAGUUAAUCAUGCUAUCUUGAAAAGAAAAUAAAAAUAAAAAUGUUAAAAAUAGUAAGCCCCAUGUGAGUAUGCUCGUGGCAUAAAACCCAUAAGUACAUUCACUGUGGUAGCGUAAAAAUAAAAUAAAUAUAUUCCUGUCCUAUAAAAAUGAAAAUAUAAAAAUAAAUUUAUGAUCCUACCAAAGAGAGUAAUAUUUAUUAAAGGAAGUUCAACAUGAUAAAGGCAAAGAGAUUUUAUGCUAACACUUAACCAGUUCCACAAAGCUUUGUUGUCUAUUUGAGCUCCACAGAAUUCAAGGAUCAAAGAAGACUAGUAGACGGAGGACAUCCUAAUCGCUGUUAGAGUGCUGCCGACAUUCAAAUACAUCUCUGUCACCUGCUAGCUACAUCAGAAGAAAUUGCGUCAAAAUCCAGCUUGGGGGAGAGCACCCCCAUUUAUCCAGCUAAGUGUUUAUAUUCGCGUUUAUACUUUACUCAAACAAUAAAAAGAUGCAUAAUCAAAAAAACCCAAAUACAAAUUUUGUGCUUAUAUCUUUGCUUAGUUUGCUAAAUAAAUAAAUAAAUAAAGUGUCUAUACCAAAUGGAACUCCAAUAAUAAACUCUUACAUAGAUAUGAUGAAUAGUUGCUCUGCCAAGUACCUAGUUUUCAAAUUUGAGCUCUCUCUCAAGUUUAGAUAUAACUGUUAUAAUUUAAAGCUUGCUCCAAAACUGAACUUGUGGGAAGAGUACCUGAUCAAAAGUCUAAGUCGUUAACGGAUAUGAUAUGGGAAGGUUGAGCUGUUGUUUAUCUGUUCCUAGAGACACUAGAAUUCUAGAGAAUUUUAUCUUUGAAAAUCUUUAAAAUGUUGCAUGAUGAGUUCCUGUAUGAUGAGAGUUUAAAAUCCUACCACAGCCAUAUAUACAUGCUUAUUAGACUAUGAACCAUACAUUUACUUUUUACUACUUAUGAGCAUUGAGUGUGGUCAAGCUGUGUAGACCCUUAGGAGCUUGUCAUGCGGUUAAAAUCAAGAUUCACUUGCACGUUCACUCAUACAUGCUACUUCUACUCCGGAAGUACGCAUCCACAUACAUCCACUCAUUUCCAUCUCCAGAUUCACCCAAAAUUAUUCUACUCCUAUCCAGGAGAGAAUAGCCAGAAACAUUAUCCUAUCCCUGUUAUUCCCUAUGAAAUAAAUGCUCGAGAUAUUUUGGUUACUACCACUUGCUACAUUAUUCCAGGAGGGUGAGUGCUCUGAAAAAAGUGAAUAUAAGGAAAUAAAAAGGGGCAAGUGCCCGGAACCUCGAAGAAAAGAAAAAGUAAGACGAGAGGUAAAAAUAGACAAGUGUCCGACAGUAGAAUUAGGUGUACAAGAUACCCACCUGAGAGAAAAAAAAAGGAAAAUAUAGAGCACCUCAUUCUCCUCAAAAAGCUUCAAAGUGCAAGAAAGGUAUUUAUCCCCUCAAAAGAGCAAAAGUAGAAUUAGACUUUCACCAUCAUCACCAUACACCAUUCAUUCGUCACACAUGCACAUCUUGAUAUUGACUUAUUGACUUGUUUCUCUGGAUCCAAGGUUUGACUAUGCAAUAAAUGUCUUGUAAGUAUGUAUACUUUAUCUCCCACCUACGAGC
RNAcentral lists this long non-coding RNA (2534 nucleotides) under Sorghum bicolor (sorghum). RNAcentral describes it as "long non-coding RNA (SBIC_LNC011974)". Lineage: Eukaryota; Viridiplantae; Streptophyta; Magnoliopsida; Poales; Poaceae. The record is from RNAcentral.